AUUGAACGCUGGCGGCAUGCCUUACACAUGCAAGUCGAACGGCAGCACGGGUGCUUGCACCUGGUGGCGAGUGGCGAACGGGUGAGUAAUACAUCGGAACGUACCUUAUCGUGGGGGAUAACGCAGCGAAAGCCGUGCUAAUACCGCAUACGCCCUGCGGGGGAAAGCGGGGGAUCGAAAGACCUCGCGCGAUUAGAGCGGCCGAUGCCUGAUUAGCUUGUUGGUGGGGUAAAAGCCCACCAAGGCGACGAUCAGUAGCUGGUCUGAGAGGACGAUCAGCCACACUGGGACUGAGACACGGCCCAGACUCCUACGGGAGGCAGCAGUGGGGAAUUUUGGACAAUGGGGGCAACCCUGAUCCAGCAAUGCCGCGUGAGUGAAGAAGGCCUUCGGGUUGUAAAGCUCUUUUGUCAGGGAAGAAACACCGGCUCUAACACAGUCCGGGAAUGACGGUACCUGAAGAAUAAGCACCGGCUAACUACGUGCCAGCAGCCGCGUAA
RNAcentral lists this ribosomal RNA (500 nucleotides) under uncultured bacterium. Its description in RNAcentral is "partial 16S ribosomal RNA". It matches the Rfam family "Bacterial small subunit ribosomal RNA", at positions 29 to 522 of the family's 1533-position model. The record is from RNAcentral.